GUUUCGAUCUGCUGGGGGCAGAUGAAGUGAAUGUGGGUGUCGAUCGAGCCCGCGGUGAGGAUGUGUCCCUCCCCGGCGAUGGCUUCGGUGCCUGGGCCCACGACGAUGUCGACCCCUGCCUGGGUAUCCGGGUUGCCCGCUUUGCCAAUGCCGCAGAUGCGGCCAUCGCGGAUGCCGAUGUCGGCUUUGACGAUGCCCCACCAGUCGAGGAUCAGGGCAUUGGUGAUCACGGUGUCCACCGCUCCGGCUGCCCGCGUGGUCUGGGCUUGCCCCAUGCCAUCGCG
This 284-nucleotide small RNA is filed under the name marine eukaryotic metagenome. RNAcentral describes it as "5' ureB small RNA". It matches the Rfam family "5' ureB small RNA". The record is from RNAcentral.